AAUUAUGGUGGGCUGGAUUGGGCAGCUUAUGCUGGCCGCGCUCCUGAGCAAGCGGUAGGACCAACCCGAUUCAGUUCACCACCCAA
Molecule: non-coding RNA, 86 nt
Filed under: Vibrio chagasii
Lineage: Bacteria; Pseudomonadati; Pseudomonadota; Gammaproteobacteria; Vibrionales; Vibrionaceae
Also listed under: 1 other name
Source: RNAcentral